RNAcentral lists this transfer RNA (75 nucleotides) under Stegodyphus mimosarum. It matches the Rfam family "tRNA". Rfam says of the family: Transfer RNA (tRNA) molecules are approximately 80 nucleotides in length. Their secondary structure includes four short double-helical elements and three loops (D, anti-codon, and T loops). The record is from Rfam by way of RNAcentral. Lineage: Eukaryota; Metazoa; Arthropoda; Arachnida; Araneae; Eresidae.
GCCUUCGUGGUAUACUGGUCAGCACGCUCGGCGCCCGUAUUCGAGAGGUCCGUGGUUCGAGUCCCGGCGAAGGCA